CAGUCGCCGCGGUAAUACGUAGGGUGCAAGCGUUAAUCGGAAUUACUGGGCGUAAAGCGUGCGCAGGCGGUUCGUUAAGACAGAUGUGAAAUCCCCGGGCUUAACCUGGGAACCGCAUUUGUGACUGGCGGGCUAGAGUAUGGCAGAGGGGGGUAGAAUUCCACGUGUAGCAGUGAAAUGCGUAGAGAUGUGGAGGAAUACCGAUGGCGAAGGCAGCCCCCCUGGGCCAAUACUGACGCUCAUGCACGAAAGCGUGGGGAGCAAACAGGAUUAGAUACCCCAGUAGUCCCUGUCUCUUAUA
This 301-nucleotide ribosomal RNA is filed under the name uncultured bacterium. RNAcentral's name for it is "partial 16S ribosomal RNA". It matches the Rfam family "Bacterial small subunit ribosomal RNA", at positions 509 to 808 of the family's 1533-position model. The record is from RNAcentral.